This 30-nucleotide non-coding RNA is filed under the name Mus musculus (house mouse). The record is from RNAcentral. Lineage: Eukaryota; Metazoa; Chordata; Mammalia; Rodentia; Muridae.
UAUACUGGUUAGGAAUGCAAAUACCACAAA